AUAAUUACUUGUUUCAAUCCCAGCUUAUCAUCAAUGAAAAUGAGUGUGCCUGCUUUAUUCAGAUGCACUUCCUUGUCAGGCUGCCACAUGGAGGACCAGAGUGCAACAGGAAGAGGUGUUAUCCGUCAGUGCUGAAAUGCAUCCACAAUGCGGUGAGGGAGGUUGGGUGCGGUGGAGUGUUACAAGGUUCAAAUCAGGAGGAGGUUUAUCAGUAAGGCUGAGGGGUGGUCGCAUAUCUGUGGAUCCCUCAAGUCGGAUCACAGCUUGUUCCACUUCUCCAAACUAAGAAGAGAGCCAUGUAAUUUGAAGUUCCCAAAGACAGCAAUCAAGAAGCAAGCUGAAUUACAGAUUAAGAACUAUCCUGUGCCUUCUUUUACAGCCAUUCCAAGAAAGCAAGAAAAAUUGGUUUCCCAUAUACACGAUUGUCUGGCAGCAGUUAUUCUAGCAGAAGACAAAGUAUCAUUAAGAGUAACAUGGAUCUGAUGAGGGCUCCUUCCAGUUAUGCCUUGGCCACAGGACUGAAGUGUAAGCACAGAACCUCGCAUCUCAUGAAAGCAGCCAAAUGGAGGAAGAUAACACACCAAUUCUGAAUUCAGGUACAAGGUCCCUGCUUUGGCCAUACUGCCUCCUGCAACACAGUACAAAUAGUGGACAACAGCUUCUGAGAAGUUUAUGCAAAAGUUUCAACAAACAAAUCAUCUUAAAUCAACAAAACUAGUGCUGUAAGACUAGUUGCUUUAACGUUGCUCUUCCCUGAAGGUUUCAUAUGCCUCUCAGCUGCAGAUAUUCACUUUGCUGCAGUAUUUAGCACUAGCAAGUCUCAGACUGUGUGGGAAAUUUGCUGCAGAAUUAAGGUCCAGUAUAUUUCAAACAACAUCAAGUGGAUUACAGCUGAAAUUUUAAAUUUCCC
Molecule: long non-coding RNA, 910 nt
Filed under: Apteryx owenii (little spotted kiwi)
Lineage: Eukaryota; Metazoa; Chordata; Aves; Apterygiformes; Apterygidae
Description: lncRNA (ENSAOWG00000009853.1)
Source: RNAcentral